CACUGGUGGCGACCGGCGCACGGGUGAGUAACACGUGUGCAACCAACCCCGUACCGGGAGAUAACCCGCGGAAACGUGGACUAACAUCCCAUGAUACUCGAGAGCCGCAUGGCUCUAGAUUUAAAAUUCCGGUGGUACGGGACGGGCACGCGCGACAUUAGGUAGUUGGCGGGGUAAGGGCCCACCAAGCCGACGAUGUCUAGGGGUUCUGAGAGGAAGGUCCCCCACACUGGAACUGAGACACGGUCCAG
RNAcentral lists this ribosomal RNA (251 nucleotides) under uncultured bacterium. RNAcentral's name for it is "partial 16S ribosomal RNA". It matches the Rfam family "Bacterial small subunit ribosomal RNA", at positions 83 to 334 of the family's 1533-position model. The record is from RNAcentral.